This is a non-coding RNA of Pelobates cultripes (western spadefoot toad), 214 nucleotides long. NCBI's taxonomy places the organism in Eukaryota, Metazoa, Chordata, Amphibia, Anura, Pelobatidae. The record is from the annotation of a GenBank genome assembly.
GCGGGAUGACGUGCGUCGUCACGUCUGCCGCAAUGCGCACCGAAAAAGCUGUGCGAAUCUAAGGAUUUAAAAAGCCGGAAGCACAGGAGAACUCACAGCUCUUGAGAAAGUCCUCGGGACGAAACGCAUUGAGCGGAGAGGCUUGACAUGUGCACAGUCGCCUUGUCGGCAUCUGCUUAAAACCCCACCACAUACCCAUUUCCAAUAAAGCAUU